ACGAACGCUGGCGGCGUGCCUAAUACAUGCAAGUUGAGCGCUGAAGGUUGGUACUUGUACCAACUGGAUGAGCAGCGAACGGGUGAGUAACGCGUGGGGAAUCUGCCUUUGAGCGGGGGACAACAUUUGGAAACGAAUGCUAAUACCGCAUAAAAACUUUAAACACAAGUUUUAAGUUUGAAAGAUGCAAUUGCAUCACUCAAAGAUGAUCCCGCGUUGUAUUAGCUAGUUGGUGAGGUAAAGGCUCACCAAGGCGAUGAUACAUAGCCGACCUGAGAGGGUGAUCGGCCACAUUGGGACUGAGACACGGCCCAAACUCCACCG
Molecule: ribosomal RNA, 324 nt
Filed under: Lactococcus lactis subsp. lactis
Lineage: Bacteria; Bacillati; Bacillota; Bacilli; Lactobacillales; Streptococcaceae
Description: bacterial SSU rRNA
Rfam family: Bacterial small subunit ribosomal RNA
Source: RNAcentral